AUUGAACGCUGGCGGCAUGCCUUACACAUGCAAGUCGAACGGCAGCACGGGAGCAAUCCUGGUGGCGAGUGGCGAACGGGUGAGUAAAGUAUCGGAACGUGCCCAGUCGUGGGGGAUAACGUAGCGAAAGUUACGCUAAUACCGCAUACGAUCUAUGGAUGAAAGCGGGGGAUCGCAAGACCUCGCGCGAUUGUAGCGGCCGAUAUCAGGUUAGGUAGUUGGUGGGGUAAAGGCUCAUCAAGCCGACGAUCUGUAGCUGGUCUGAGAGGACGACCAGCCAAGCUGGGACUGAGACACGGCCCAGACUCCUACGGGAGGCAGCAGUGGGGAAUUUUGGACAAUGGGCGAAAGCCUGAUCCAGCCAUGCCGCGGGCAGGAUGAAGGCCUUCGGGUUGUAAACUGCUUUUGUACGGAACGAAAAGGUUUGGCCUAAUAAGCUGAGCUCAUGACGGUACCGUAAGAAUAAGCACCGGCUAACUACGUGCCAGCCGCCGCAGUAA
This 500-nucleotide ribosomal RNA is filed under the name uncultured bacterium. RNAcentral describes it as "partial 16S ribosomal RNA". It matches the Rfam family "Bacterial small subunit ribosomal RNA", at positions 30 to 523 of the family's 1533-position model. The record is from RNAcentral.